GGAUGUGGAGGUGAUCUGGCUGCAACAUCUGUCACCCCAUUGAUCACCAGAGUUGAUUCGGCUGAGCUGGCUGGCUACACAGGUGUCCCCUUCCUCCCUUACUGCUCUGUGUGCCUCCUUCCCGAAGCUUCGCACUCCGGCCCAAGAAGAUGACCUUCCCCAAAAGAAGAGGACUAUUCUACAGUCAAGGGUAUACAGGAGUAGCUGUGUUCCCCCCUACAAACAAGCUCUCAAGGUCCAUGAAAAAAAAAAAACAACCAAACAAAAAAACCCCACACACGAAAAAAAACCACUUUCUUGUUGGGAAUGAGGGUGUUC
Molecule: small nuclear RNA, 318 nt
Filed under: Mustela putorius furo (domestic ferret)
Lineage: Eukaryota; Metazoa; Chordata; Mammalia; Carnivora; Mustelidae
Description: 7SK RNA (ENSMPUG00000020590.1)
Rfam family: 7SK RNA
About the family: 7SK was discovered as an abundant small nuclear RNA in the mid-70s but a possible function has only recently been suggested. Two independent studies have found that 7SK RNA binds the CDK9/cyclin T complex (known as elongation factor P-TEFb).
Source: RNAcentral